UGCUCUUCUUGGAUGAGUUGCGAACGGGUGAGUAACGCGUAGGUAACCUGCCUUGUAGCGGGGGAUAACUAUUGGAAACGAUAGCUAAUACCGCAUAACAAUGGAUGACACAUGUCAUUUAUUUGAAAGGGGCAAUUGCUCCACUACAAGAUGGACCUGCGUUGUAUUAGCUAGUAGGUGAGGUAACGGCUCACCUAGGCGACGAUACAUAGCCGACCUGAGAGGGUGAUCGGCCACACUGGGACUGAGACACGGCCCAGACUCCUACGGGAGGCAGCAGUAGGGAAUCUUCGGCAAUGGGGGCAACCCUGACCGAGCAACGCCGCGUGAGUGAAGAAGGUUUUCGGAUCGUAAAGCUCUGUUGUAAGUCAAGAACGAGUGUGAGAGUGGAAAGUUCACACUGUGACGGUAGCUUACCAGAAAGGAACGGCUAACUACGUGCCAGCAGCCGCGGUAAUACGUAGGUCCCGAGCGUUGUCCGGAUUUAUUGGGCGUAAAGCGAGCGCAGGCGGUUUGAUAAGUCUGAAGUUAAAGGCUGUGGCUCAACCAUAGUUCGCUUUGGAAACUGUCAAACUUGAGUGCAGAAGGGGAGAGUGGAGUUCCAUGUGUAGCGGUGAAAUGCGUAGAUAUAUGGAGGAACACCGGUGGCGAAAGCGGCU
Molecule: ribosomal RNA, 659 nt
Filed under: uncultured Bacilli bacterium
Lineage: Bacteria; Bacillati; Bacillota; Bacilli
Description: bacterial SSU rRNA
Rfam family: Bacterial small subunit ribosomal RNA
Source: RNAcentral